Non-coding RNA from Ataeniobius toweri, 78 nucleotides. The record is from the annotation of a GenBank genome assembly. Lineage: Eukaryota; Metazoa; Chordata; Actinopteri; Cyprinodontiformes; Goodeidae.
GGCUGCACGGUGGUGCAGUUGGUAGCACUGUGUCCUUGCAGCAAGACGGUCCUGGGUUCAACUCCCGGCCAAGGGUCU